GUGUCAGCAGCCGCGGUAAUACGGAGGGUGCAAGCGUUAUCCGGAUUCACUGGGUUUAAAGGGUGCGUAGGUGGGCAAGUAAGUCAGUGGUGAAAUCUUUGGGCUUAACCCGAAAACUGCCGUUGAUACUAUUUGUCUUGAAUGUAGUGGAGGUGAGCGGAAUAUGUCAUGUAGCGGUGAAAUGCUUAGAUAUGACAUAGAACACCGAUUGUGAAGACAGCUCGCUACACUAUUAUUGACACUGAGGCACGAAAGCGUGGGGAUCAAACAGGAUUAGAAACCCUCGUAGUCC
Molecule: ribosomal RNA, 292 nt
Filed under: uncultured bacterium
Lineage: Bacteria
Description: partial 16S ribosomal RNA
Rfam family: Bacterial small subunit ribosomal RNA
Source: RNAcentral